RNAcentral lists this transfer RNA (83 nucleotides) under Felis catus (domestic cat). It matches the Rfam family "tRNA". From Rfam's summary of the family: Transfer RNA (tRNA) molecules are approximately 80 nucleotides in length. Their secondary structure includes four short double-helical elements and three loops (D, anti-codon, and T loops). Lineage: Eukaryota; Metazoa; Chordata; Mammalia; Carnivora; Felidae. RNAcentral also lists the same sequence under 2 other names. The record is from Rfam by way of RNAcentral.
GCCUGGGUGGCUCAGUCGGUUGAGCGUCUGACUUGGGCUCAGGUCAUAAUCUCGCACUCUGAGUUCCAGCCCCGCCUCGGGCU